RNAcentral lists this ribosomal RNA (386 nucleotides) under uncultured bacterium. RNAcentral describes it as "bacterial SSU rRNA". It matches the Rfam family "Bacterial small subunit ribosomal RNA", at positions 1017 to 1397 of the family's 1533-position model. The record is from RNAcentral.
CCUUCGGGGAACAUUGGGACAGUUGUUGCAUGGCUUUUCGUCAGCUUCGUUUCGUGAGAUGUUUGGGUUAAGUCCCGUAACGAGGCGCAACCCUUGUCCUUAGUUACCAGCACGUAAUGGUGGGCACUCUAAGGAGACUGCCGGUGACAAACCGGAGGAAGGUGGGGAUGACGUCAAGUCAUCAUGGCCCUUACGGCCUGGGCUACACACGUGCUACAAUGGUCGGUACAGAGGGUUNCCAAGCCGCGAGGUGGAGCUAAUCCCACAAAACCGAUCGUAGUCCGGAUCGCAGUCUGCAACUCGACUGCGUGAAGUCGGAAUCGCUAGUAAUCGCGAAUCAGAAUGUCGCGGUGAAUACGUUCCCGGGCCUUGUACACUCCGCCCGU